CAGUCGCCGCGGGAAUACGUAGGUGGCAAGCGUUGUCCGGAAUUAUUGGGCGUAAAGGGCUCGCAGGCGGUUUCUUAAGUCUGAUGUGAAAGCCCCCGGCUCAACCGGGGAGGGUCAUUGGAAACUGGGAAACUUGAGUGCAGAAGAGGAGAGUGGAAUUCCAUGUGUAGCGGUGAAAUGCGUAGAGAUGUGGAGGAACACCAGUGGCGAAGGCGACUCUCUGGUCUGUAACUGACGCUGAGGAGCGAAAGCGUGGGGAGCGAACAGGAUUAGAUACCCCCGUAGUCCCUGUCUCUUAUAC
RNAcentral lists this ribosomal RNA (301 nucleotides) under uncultured bacterium. RNAcentral describes it as "partial 16S ribosomal RNA". It matches the Rfam family "Bacterial small subunit ribosomal RNA", at positions 509 to 807 of the family's 1533-position model. The record is from RNAcentral.